UAGUUUGGACAAUCAGGCCUGACGCAUCUAAAAGAGACAAAUAUAAAUAAAAAAUGUUUUUAUUUGUUCUUUUUUUAUUUCGUCCUGAAGUUCUGUUUCAUUCUUUACUACUCCAAUUUCUUGUUUGAGCUUCCGAUGUUUUUUUUUCUUGAAUCGGCGCUUUUAAUCUUCAAUUCAUAAAAAGUCUGAAGCGAAAGUGGUAUUUUUUCGCUUUUGAUCGCGCUUUGCAUUUAUGCCUCGUUGCUUAAAUUCCGGUAAAAAAUCCGGUCUUCUUUAUUUUAUGUUUCCGGUUGCUUAGACAAGUCACAGUUUGAUAAUUUAUGCGUUGACUGAUUCACUUAGUCUUGUCUUACACCAACCGUCAAAUACGUUACAUCUCUUCAAUAUUUUUAAUUGAAUCAUUGAGUUGUUGUAUUUAUAGUUUUGCAAAUUAUAUAGAGACAGGAACUUUCAUUUUCUCUUCGUAUUCUUGCUACAGUUUGCUAAAAUUAGGUUAACAAUGUUCAUUUCUUUGAAUCGCAUUUUUUUGGUUAAAUUUUAUAUGUUCUUUAAUUUUUAUUUUCGCAUCAAAAUAUGUUCACUAAUUUGAAGUUAAUGAUUGCGAUUAACUCCAAUAAAAAGUCAACAGUUGAUUUCAACAAUUUUACUUCUUAGAUACAUUGUCUGGAAAUGCCAGUUUCAUCGUCAAAGACACUAAUGAAAUAAAAUUGCUCAAAUAAAAUUGUUCCAAAACAGGAAACUGAUGCCUGUAGGCGCCUGUUGAGAAGUUUUCUUUCAUCCAUAUUCACAUCCUAAUUAAAAGUUAUCCAAAGAAGAGCACUGAGAAAAAUUUUGCCUAGAAGCAAAUUGACAAUCAGUCUUUUAUUUUGUCAAUUAAGGCCUAAAAUAUUUUGUUAUUUAUUUAUUGGUUAUCUAACCAUAAACCAAUUCUGUGGCAUUAUCAUUCGUGCUGAGCUCUUUCUGAUUUACUUCAGUCAAAAAAACCUGAGCUCGAAUUGCUACCUACCAUGAAGUUAAAGGAAGAUUUAACGAUAUCAGAUGGCAACCGAAGAUGUUUAUCACGAAAGCAGAAAUAAAAAGCACAAAGGCCUUGAAAACCAGAUCAAACCAGCUGAUGCUUCAAAACAUACCCUGAAGCUGCAGUAACCAGAGUCCUAGAUGGUCAUGUACCCCUCAUUCCACUCUGGCCCCACCAAUUGGACCGACUCAGCAGGAGUGGGGGUAGGAGGG
Molecule: long non-coding RNA, 1230 nt
Organism: Symsagittifera roscoffensis
Lineage: Eukaryota; Metazoa; Xenacoelomorpha; Acoela; Convolutidae
Exons: 3
Source: RefSeq, a predicted model, not a curated record